This 1491-nucleotide ribosomal RNA is filed under the name Lactiplantibacillus plantarum. RNAcentral describes it as "Lactobacillus plantarum partial 16S ribosomal RNA". It matches the Rfam family "Bacterial small subunit ribosomal RNA". The record is from RNAcentral. Lineage: Bacteria; Bacillati; Bacillota; Bacilli; Lactobacillales; Lactobacillaceae.
GACGAACGCUGGCGGCGUGCCUAAUACAUGCAAGUCGAACGAACUCUGGUAUUGAUUGGUGCUUGCAUCAUGAUUUACAUUUGAGUGAGUGGCGAACUGGUGAGUAACACGUGGGAAACCUGCCCAGAAGCGGGGGAUAACACCUGGAAACAGAUGCUAAUACCGCAUAACAACUUGGACCGCAUGGUCCGAGCUUGAAAGAUGGCUUCGGCUAUCACUUUUGGAUGGUCCCGCGGCGUAUUAGCUAGAUGGUGGGGUAACGGCUCACCAUGGCAAUGAUACGUAGCCGACCUGAGAGGGUAAUCGGCCACAUUGGGACUGAGACACGGCCCAAACUCCUACGGGAGGCAGCAGUAGGGAAUCUUCCACAAUGGACGAAAGUCUGAUGGAGCAACGCCGCGUGAGUGAAGAAGGGUUUCGGCUCGUAAAACUCUGUUGUUAAAGAAGAACAUAUCUGAGAGUAACUGUUCAGGUAUUGACGGUAUUUAACCAGAAAGCCACGGCUAACUACGUGCCAGCAGCCGCGGUAAUACGUAGGUGGCAAGCGUUGUCCGGAUUUAUUGGGCGUAAAGCGAGCGCAGGCGGUUUUUUAAGUCUGAUGUGAAAGCCUUCGGCUCAACCGAAGAAGUGCAUCGGAAACUGGGAAACUUGAGUGCAGAAGAGGACAGUGGAACUCCAUGUGUAGCGGUGAAAUGCGUAGAUAUAUGGAAGAACACCAGUGGCGAAGGCGGCUGUCUGGUCUGUAACUGACGCUGAGGCUCGAAAGUAUGGGUAGCAAACAGGAUUAGAUACCCUGGUAGUCCAUACCGUAAACGAUGAAUGCUAAGUGUUGGAGGGUUUCCGCCCUUCAGUGCUGCAGCUAACGCAUUAAGCAUUCCGCCUGGGGAGUACGGCCGCAAGGCUGAAACUCAAAGGAAUUGACGGGGGCCCGCACAAGCGGUGGAGCAUGUGGUUUAAUUCGAAGCUACGCGAAGAACCUUACCAGGUCUUGACAUACUAUGCAAAUCUAAGAGAUUAGACGUUCCCUUCGGGGACAUGGAUACAGGUGGUGCAUGGUUGUCGUCAGCUCGUGUCGUGAGAUGUUGGGUUAAGUCCCGCAACGAGCGCAACCCUUAUUAUCAGUUGCCAGCAUUAAGUUGGGCACUCUGGUGAGACUGCCGGUGACAAACCGGAGGAAGGUGGGGAUGACGUCAAAUCAUCAUGCCCCUUAUGACCUGGGCUACACACGUGCUACAAUGGAUGGUACAACGAGUUGCGAACUCGCGAGAGUAAGCUAAUCUCUUAAAGCCAUUCUCAGUUCGGAUUGUAGGCUGCAACUCGCCUACAUGAAGUCGGAAUCGCUAGUAAUCGCGGAUCAGCAUGCCGCGGUGAAUACGUUCCCGGGCCUUGUACACACCGCCCGUCACACCAUGAGAGUUUGUAACACCCAAAGUCGGUGGGGUAACCUUUUAGGAACCAGCCGCCUAAGGUGGGACAGAUGAUUAGGGUGAA